This 274-nucleotide ribosomal RNA is filed under the name uncultured bacterium. RNAcentral's name for it is "partial 16S ribosomal RNA". It matches the Rfam family "Bacterial small subunit ribosomal RNA", at positions 523 to 796 of the family's 1533-position model. The record is from RNAcentral.
AUACGGAGGGUGCGAGCGUUAAUCGGAAUUACUGGGCGUAAAGCGUACGUAGGCGGUUGGUUAAGUUAGAUGUGAAAGCCCCGGGCUUAACCUGGGAACUGCAUUUAAAACUGGCGAACUAGAGUUGAGUAGAGGGGAGUAGAAUUUCAGGUGUAGCGGUGAAAUGCGUAGAGAUCUGAAGGAACACCAGUGGCGAAGGCGACUCCCUGGACUCGAACUGACGCUGAGGUACGAAAGCGUGGGUAGCAAACGGGAUUAGAUACCCCAGUAGUCC